Molecule: ribosomal RNA, 502 nt
Filed under: uncultured bacterium
Lineage: Bacteria
Description: bacterial SSU rRNA
Rfam family: Bacterial small subunit ribosomal RNA
Source: RNAcentral
GGCGGCGUGCCUAACACAUGCAAGUCGAACGGAGAUUCAGAUGAAGCUUGCGAUUCUGAAUCUUAGUGGCGGACGGGUGAGUAACGCGUGGGUAAUCUGCCCUUAAGUGGGGGAUAACAGUCGGAAACGACUGCUAAUACCGCAUAAGCUGGCGGGAACACAUGUUUCUGUCAGGAAAGGUGGCCUCUUAACAAUGCUACCGCUUAAGGAUGAGCCCGCGUCUGAUUAGCUAGUAGGUGGGGUAAUGGCCUACCUAGGCGACGAUCAGUAGCCGGCCUGAGAGGGUGUAGGCCCCACACUGGAACUGAGACACGGUCCAGACUCCUACGGGAGGCAGCAGUGGGGAAUAUUGCGCAAUGGGGGAAACCCUGACGCAGCGACGCCGCGUGAACGAGGGAGCCCUUCGGGGUGUAAAGUUCUUUUCUAUACGAGCAGUGCUAUAUAUAUGGAUAGUAUAUAUAGAGGGAUAGUAGUAUAGGAAUAAGCAACGGCUAACUCCGUG